Molecule: transfer RNA, 72 nt
Filed under: Ovis aries (sheep)
Lineage: Eukaryota; Metazoa; Chordata; Mammalia; Artiodactyla; Bovidae
Rfam family: tRNA
About the family: Transfer RNA (tRNA) molecules are approximately 80 nucleotides in length. Their secondary structure includes four short double-helical elements and three loops (D, anti-codon, and T loops).
Source: Rfam by way of RNAcentral
UCCAGAAUGGCUCAGAUGGUAAAGUGUCCGCCUGCAAUGCGGGAGACCCGGGUUCGAUUCCUGGGUCGGGAA